AGUGAACGCUGGCGGUAGGCCUAACACAUGCCAGUCGAACGGCAGCACAGUAAGAGCUUGCUCUUACGGGUGGCGAGUGGCGGACGGGUGAGGAAUAUAUCGGAAUCUACUUUUUCGUGGGGGAUAACGUAGGGAAACUUACGCUAAUACCGCAUACGACCUACGGGUGAAAGCAGGGGAUCUUCGGACCUUGCGCGAUUGAAUGAGCCGAUGGCGGAUUAGCUAGUUGGCGGGGUAAAGGCCCACCAAGGCGACGAUCCGUAGCUGGUCUGAGAGGAUGGGUAGCCGCCCUGGGAGUGUGACCGGGUCCAUGCGUCUACGGGGAGGAGCCAGUGGGAAACGUGGGGCAGGGGCGGGAAACUGUGCACAACGGUCCGGGGUGGGGAAGAAGGGCUUCGGGUUGGAAAGCCCUUUUGUUGGGAAAGAAAAGCAGCAGGUUAAUACCCCGCUGUUCUGACGGUACCCAAAGAAUAAGCACCGGCUAACUUCGUG
This 492-nucleotide ribosomal RNA is filed under the name uncultured bacterium. Its description in RNAcentral is "partial 16S ribosomal RNA". It matches the Rfam family "Bacterial small subunit ribosomal RNA", at positions 30 to 507 of the family's 1533-position model. The record is from RNAcentral.